Non-coding RNA from Aedes aegypti (yellow fever mosquito), 46 nucleotides. Lineage: Eukaryota; Metazoa; Arthropoda; Insecta; Diptera; Culicidae. The record is from Rfam.
CAAACGGUCUUUUUUAAGACCAAAGAGUUGUUGGAAAUAAUUUCUU